RNAcentral lists this ribosomal RNA (465 nucleotides) under Vreelandella stevensii. RNAcentral's name for it is "partial 16S ribosomal RNA". It matches the Rfam family "Bacterial small subunit ribosomal RNA", at positions 338 to 795 of the family's 1533-position model. Lineage: Bacteria; Pseudomonadati; Pseudomonadota; Gammaproteobacteria; Oceanospirillales; Halomonadaceae. The record is from RNAcentral.
CCUACGGGCGGCAGCAGUGGGGAAUAUUGGACAAUGGGCGAAAGCCUGAUCCAGCCAUGCCGCGUGUGUGAAGAAGGCCUUCGGGUUGUAAAGCACUUUCAGUGGGGAAGAAAGCCUUGGGGCUAAUACCCUCGAGGAAGGACAUCACCCAUAGAAGAAGCACCGGCUAACUCCGUGCCAGCAGCCGCGGUAAUACGGAGGGUGCGAGCGUUAAUCGGAAUUACUGGGCGUAAAGCGCGCGUAGGCGGUCUGAUAAGCCGGUUGUGAAAGCCCCGGGCUCAACCUGGGAACGGCAUCCGGAACUGUCAGGCUAGAGUGCAGGAGAGGAAGGUAGAAUUCCCGGUGUAGCGGUGAAAUGCGUAGAGAUCGGGAGGAAUACCAGUGGCGAAGGCGGCCUUCUGGACUGACACUGACGCUGAGGUGCGAAAGCGUGGGUAGCAAACAGGAUUAGAUACCCGAGUAGUC